GGAAGGAUUAUGAAAGUGUAUUUCAAAGUUGCGCUACAUGUGUGCUUAACCAAACUUAAUAUCUGCUUUAAUUCAUGUUCAAAUUUACUUUCACUUUGGAUUCUAUUUCCAGUUUUAACACAAUACUCUUUAUUUUAAUGAAUGCGUAUGCUAACACUUUCACACAUAAAAGUCUUAGAGCAAUUACCUUAGUAAGGUGCACAUUAAUCGACCGUCUGCUAGUGUAAAUGUCACAAAAUUCAGAUGGUCACUUCUAUAGGACUCAAUCCAAGUGUGUUGAUAUUUGAAGCAGUCCUUGACCAAAUAUGUUUAGGCUUACGCUUGCAAUGAUUCUUGCAAUACUUAACGUAUUCAACAUAGUAUUCGUUAUAUAAUAGAUAAUUAAGUUUGAUAAAGUUAUCAAUGAGACAACAACAAACAGUCAAGAAUGAAAACAGCUACAAAUGGUUGGUCAUCUAAUGGCAUUUCUUAAUGAGCAAAAUGCUUACCGUUUAAUCACGUAUAAAAUGUCAUGUCAAAACAAAAUGUGGAAAAUGUGGUAUGUUUGUUAUUCUCAUUGGAUUUUGUCUAAUGCUAAGUCCGUUUCUGUGUGUGUUACAUUUUAAUGUUGUGUCGUUGUUCUCCUCUUAUAUUUAAUGCGUUUCCCUCAGUUUUAGUUUAUUACCCCGAUUUUGUUUUUUGUCCAUGGAUUUAUGAGUUUUGAACAGCGGUAUACUACUGUUGCCUUUAUUUAUUCAAAAACAUUGAAUAUUUUUUUUACCCCAAACGUUCAAUGUCAGAAGCUGGAAUUAAUGGCCCUGCAGCAAAUUUUACCAAAAUUACCAACUGAUCAGACCAGAUAAAACAGAACAGCACCAGAUUUGAAACAAUAUAUCUGCUAAUCAUUUAUUUGUUAAAAGAAAUUAACUGAGGCACCUUCUUUGAUAUUACUAAAUAUACAUUUAGAGAAGCAGUAUCUGCUUCGUCUGUGGUGAUUUCAAAGUGUAUAUUAGUAGAAUUAAGAGAGUACCAUAAUUGUCGUGUUUUAACAUUGUUACAACAGGAAGUCUUGAAUAAACCGAGUGAUUCACAAGCACUAACACUCCCCGUUUGUUUGUCCACUCAAACAAAUGGGACUACUUGGAAUGUAACAAUCUAUAGAGGUACAGAUUAGACGACUGUUCUUGUAGGAAAAAUCCAAGACUGCGAAAACAAGCCAAAAUGUUUCGAGCCGAAUAAAAAUACAGCUGAUAUCUAUAUACAUUAAACAGUUUUUGUCUUUAUACUGAAAUUAAUUUUGUACAUUUUUUCCAUAUCAGAAUCAUUGAAUUUAUCUUCAAAAGAAAUCGAAACGAAUUAAACACAGACCGCAAUGUUGAUCCCACUUGAACUGUGACGUUAACAGAAAUUUUAUUUAACCGUUCGCUCGCAACAGUAGUAGGAUACUAGUAUACUAUAUACGUCUUGUAUACAAAUUCGCCUCGUGGUAUAUGUACACCUGUAUUAGUAUAGUAGAAAUGUCGAUUGCAGGAUAACAUGUAGUCUAUUGUUAGAAAAAGUUAAUGUCGCUAACCUCGUUUCACUUUUUAUACAAUAUAAAAACCUUGUCUGAUCUGUAGUAUUGUCAUUACAGAAGGUUGAAUACACUAUUUUGUUUUCAUCUCGUUUUUCAAUUUAUUGAUAAGAAUAAGAAUAUUUAUUAUUCCAAUCAAGGGCCCUUGAUGGGCAGCAUAACAUAUACACAUGAAAUAAUACAUCAUGAUUUGUAACAGAAAAACAUUUUUAUAUAAUAAAAUGAAACAUUAAAAAAAGUUCAGAC
RNAcentral lists this long non-coding RNA (1798 nucleotides) under Mytilus galloprovincialis (Mediterranean mussel). The record is from RNAcentral. Lineage: Eukaryota; Metazoa; Mollusca; Bivalvia; Mytilida; Mytilidae.